Long non-coding RNA from Rhineura floridana, 1699 nucleotides. RefSeq lists it as uncharacterized. NCBI's taxonomy places the organism in Eukaryota, Metazoa, Chordata, Lepidosauria, Squamata, Rhineuridae. The record is from RefSeq and is a predicted model, not a curated record. The transcript is spliced from 3 exons.
UUAGACCUCAUCUUGAGUGUUGUGUCCAGUUCUGGAUACUUUAAGAAGGAUACAGACAAACUGGAAUGGAUUCAGAGGAGGGCAACGAGGAUGAUCAGGAGACUGGAAACAAAGCCCUGUGAGGAGAGACUGAAACAACUGGGCAUGUUUAACCUUGAGAAAAGGGGAGAUGUGACAGCACUGUUUAAGUACUGGUAAGGUUGUCACACAGAGGACAGCUAGAAUCUCUUCUCGAUCAUCCUGGAGUAUGGGGCAUGGAAUAAUGGACUCAAGUUUCAGGAAGCCAGAUUUCAACUGAUCAUCAGGAAAAACUUCCUCACUGUUUGAGUGUUAUGACAAUGGAACGAAUUAUCUAGGGAGGUGAUGGGCUCUCCAACCCUGGAGGUAUUCAAGAGGCAGCUGCACAGCCACCUAUCAGAUUUCAGAGACUGAAGCAAGUUAUGGAGAUGUAAUGGAUCCACUCGCCUAUCCCAUUAACAACAGUAUAUCAUGCGCUGUUAUUAUAACAUAGGAUGAAUGAUUUGUCAGACAGCUCUUACCAAGGCAGGACUCAAAGCCCACUUUCUUUGGGAACAGCGUAAUGCCGACUUCUCAGUUUCCAGCAAUCUGAAGUUUAUGGACUGAAGUCUCUCACCGAGAGCAAGAUUACUGAGCUGGCUUCCUGAGUUUCAGGCCCACAUCGUACCAGCAGAAGCAGUGUGAAACCUAACCUGAAUGCUAGCUAUGUCUCAUGGCAAGCUACUAGUGUGCAGCAACGACAGAUCUAACAAAAGUCUGGCCUAGUCUAAAACAAAAUCAUCUCACUUUCUUUUGCCCUUCCCAUGUCCAGCACUGAUGAUACCUAUUGUAUUCUCUACAAAGGACUUUGAGAACUCUGUCUAUCUGAGAUUGGAACAAACGUGGAACAGGAAAAAGAUUUGGAGUCUAUGGACUUUAGAAACAAAAUCUAUUGUUUGGAGACACAGGAGACUAAAGACAUAGGGGUCCUUGUGAGAGAGGAGACCCUGGAGACUGGAACAGGGGUCCCUGUGAGAGAGGAGACCCUGGAGACUGGAACAGGGGUCCCUGUGAGAGAGGAGAUCCCGGAGAUUGGAACAAACGUGGAACAGGAACAAGAUUUGGAGUCUAUGGACUUUAGAAAUAAAAUCUAUUGUUUGGAACUCAAUGUUAUCUCUGAAGAAAUUAAUGAAGAUUCUAGAGAUAAAGUUAUCAAUGGCAUGGAUAAUCUUCUGGACUGGAAUGAUGUGAUGGAGCCCAAUAUAGAGAAAAUCUAUGGAAUUAACUGCAGCCAUGUGACAAUGGAAAAACUUUCAAGAGAUGACCCAGUGUAUUUUGAAAAAAAGAACAGAGAUAUGAUUUUACAGCAGUAUUUCAGCAACCUAUUCAGAAUGGAUGGCAAGAAAAUAUUUGGGAUAGAGGUAAUUCCCAUCAGACUCUUACUAUAUGACUAUGGCUUUGACAGCAAGAUUAUUAUGGAAUACUGAUAAUGGAAGAUUGGAUACUGAAAUUACUGGACUUAACAAGACUACUGAAGAUGGAAGAUGGAAAAUGGAACUAAUAGGGAUAAUAGAACAAUGGCUACUGAAAUUACUGAACCUAACAGAUUCUGAUGUGAUGGAUUAAUGGAAAUGUUUAUUUUGACUAUGGUUAUGACAAUAAGAUUAUCAUAAUUAGUAAUGAGAUGGAUUAAUUGAUAUGU